RNAcentral lists this ribosomal RNA (917 nucleotides) under uncultured bacterium. RNAcentral's name for it is "bacterial SSU rRNA". It matches the Rfam family "Bacterial small subunit ribosomal RNA", at positions 60 to 979 of the family's 1533-position model. The record is from RNAcentral.
AGUCGACGGAUUCUUCGGAUUGAGUGGCGAACGGGUGAGUAACACGUAGGGAACCUGCCUGCAUGAGCGGGAGAACUUCUGGAAACGGAAGCUGAUACCGGAUGAGCAAAGAGGAGGCAUCUUCUUUUUGGAAAAGGGGACAAGAGUCCCGCAUGCAGAUGGACCUGCGGUGCAUUAGCUGGUUGGAGAGGUAACGGCUCACCAAGGCGACGAUGCAUAGCCGGCCUGAGAGGGCGGACGGCCACACUGGGACUGAGACACGGCCCAGACUCCUGCGGGAGGCAGCAGUAGGGAAUUUUCGUCAAUGGGGGGAACCCUGAACGAGCAAUGCCGCGUGAGCGAGGAAGGUCUUCGGAUCGUAAAGCUCUGUUGCCGGGGACAAAAGGCAGAAAGAGUGGAAAGCUUUCUGAGUGAUGGUACCCGGCGAGGAAGUCACGGCUAACCACGUGCCAGCAGCCGCGGUAAUACGUAGGUGGCGGGCGUUAUCCGGAAUGAUUGGGCGUAAAGGGUGCGCAGGCGGCCGGGCAAGUCCGCAGUAAAAACUGGAGGCUCAACCUUCAGGGGCUGCGGAAACUGUCCGGCUGGAGAGCAGGAGAGGACGGUGGAACUCCAUGUGUAGCGGUAAAAUGCGUAGAUAUAUGGAAGAACACCGGUGGCGAAGGCGGCCGUCUGGCCUGCAUCUGACGCUGAGGCACGAAAGCGUGGGGAGCAAAUAGGAUUAGAUACCCUAGUAGUCCACGCUGUAAACGAUGAGGACCAAGUGUUGGAGGUAAAACUUCAGUGCUGCAGUCAACGCAGUGAGUCCUCCGCCUGGNGAGUAUGCACGCAANUGUGAAACUCAAAGGAAUUGACGGGGGCCCGCACAAGCGGUGGAGUAUGUGGUUUAAUUCGAAGCAACGCGAAGAACCUUACCAGGC